CGCGUUUUCGGUGCGGCGUGGAUUGUCGCUGCGGCGGUUGUGGCCCUUCGUGGCGGGCGGAUUGGUUGGAAUUCCAAUUGGCGCGGC
Molecule: transfer RNA, 87 nt
Filed under: Cupriavidus pinatubonensis
Lineage: Bacteria; Pseudomonadati; Pseudomonadota; Betaproteobacteria; Burkholderiales; Burkholderiaceae
Description: tRNA-His
Source: RNAcentral